CAUUGCAAGAUCGGGGCUCUUCAAUGCUCUCUUGGGAAUGCAAGUCAGCACAAUAGCAGAAUCACUCUGCAGAGUGUUGAAAUUGCCACCCUAACUAAGGAAAUCCAAAGGAAAAUAAGGCCUGAAUAAGAACCUGGAAUCCUCCUGCUCUGAGCUGGAUCAAGGACCAAAGGGAAACCUACUGGUUGUGAGUGCUUCUGUUUCACUGACUCUUGAUCACCAGCCACUGGGUCUGCUUCUACCAGCAAUUUAUGGCUCCUGCAGCUUCUCUGAGAACAGGAGCUCACUAAGUUGCCUAGUCUUGGCUCAAACUUGCCAUCUUCCUACUUCAGCCUCCCAGAAUGCUAUGAUUAGAGGUAUGUGCCACCACAAUGUGUUCUCCUUGGC
Molecule: long non-coding RNA, 387 nt
Filed under: Heterocephalus glaber (naked mole-rat)
Lineage: Eukaryota; Metazoa; Chordata; Mammalia; Rodentia; Bathyergidae
Description: lncRNA (ENSHGLG00000050053.1)
Source: RNAcentral